Molecule: unclassified non-coding RNA, 487 nt
Filed under: Hevea brasiliensis (rubber tree)
Lineage: Eukaryota; Viridiplantae; Streptophyta; Magnoliopsida; Malpighiales; Euphorbiaceae
Source: RNAcentral
UAAUCCCAAACUAGUUGGGGUCAAGUAUAUAGAUCUUUUUGGCCAUUCAAUAACGUUAGAAACAAAUUCCACAUCAAUAUCCAAAAAUGUAAAUCCUAAGCUAAAUUAACAAUCAUAUUAAUCCUAAGUUAUUCCUUUUUUUAAAUGACUCAAUAUAAACAUGCAGUGUUUAUUUUUUGUUACAAAAUAUGGAUACUAAAUAUUUAUUCUUUCUUUGUUAAGUUCAAAAUUCACUCUCCCCCAAUAUCUAGUUGGCUAGGCUACAUCAUUCUAAGUCUCUCCUAGGUUCAUGACUAGAACAAUAGAAGGGGAAAUGGGGAAACAUGGGUCUUUCUGGUCUUCAAUGCCAUGCCCCAGCUGAUGCAAUUUGUCGAUGCAUUAUCUAGAAACCAUGAUUCAACUAUACCCAAAUAAAUAGUUCAUGUACUAAUAUUUUUAACCUGAGAACAGGCAUGAAUAAUUUUUUUUUUCUCACGAGGACUUCAAA